UACGUAUGGAGCAAGCGUUAUCCGGAUUUACUGGGUGUAAAGGGAGCGUAGGCGGCUCUGUAAGUCUGAUGUGAAAAUUUGGGGCUCAACCCCAAACGUGCAUUGGAAACUGCAGGGCUUGAGUGCCGGAGAGGCAGGCGGAAUUCCUAGUGUAGCGGUGAAAUGCGUAGAUAUUAGGAGGAACACCAGUGGCGAAGGCGGCCUGCUGGAUGGUAACUGACGCUGAGGCUCGAAAGCGUGGGGAGCAAACAGG
This 253-nucleotide ribosomal RNA is filed under the name uncultured bacterium. RNAcentral describes it as "partial 16S ribosomal RNA". It matches the Rfam family "Bacterial small subunit ribosomal RNA", at positions 524 to 776 of the family's 1533-position model. The record is from RNAcentral.